UUGGUUAGUGGCAGACGGGUGAGUAAUGCAUAGGUAACAUACCCUUAAGUUUGGGAUAACUUUUUGAAAGGAAAGCUAAUACCGAAUAUUCUCUUUUUAUCGCCUGAUUUUAAGAGGAAAGUUCUGGCGCUUAAGGAGUGGCCUAUGUCUGAUUAGCUAGUUGGUAGGGUAAUGGCCUACCAAGGCAACGAUCAGUAGCUGGUCUGAGAGGAUGACCAGCCACACUGGAACUGAGACACGGUCCAGACUCC
This 251-nucleotide ribosomal RNA is filed under the name uncultured bacterium. RNAcentral's name for it is "partial 16S ribosomal RNA". It matches the Rfam family "Bacterial small subunit ribosomal RNA", at positions 88 to 339 of the family's 1533-position model. The record is from RNAcentral.